AGAGCGAGAAGAUGAUGCAUGUGAGCCCUGCCCUUGGGAAGCUUCCAGGUUGGGAAAUGAGGAAUGAGCCUGACACCCAGGGCCCAGAGAGACCCAGGACAGAGGCAGGUCAGGAGGCAGACACGCGCUGCUGGGUAAUGACGACAGCACCAGUAAUCACGGCUACUCCUUGUUAAGUACUUACUAAGUGCAAGACUCCAAGCUAAGCAAUUAAUAGACCUUUUCUUGUUUAAUCCUUACCACAAUUCCAUAGGAUGUUCUCACAGAGCUACACAUGCCACAGUCAUCACUAGUUGCGAGAGUCUCCAGUGUUCAUUAAGCCUAUUUUGCUGGAAGUUUAGUCCCUGGAGGAUUAGUCCCUGCCCUUAAGGAGUGCCAAAGAAGACUUUGGAAUCUAAGUCACAUCUCCCCUGCUGCAAUUUUUUCCUCUUGAUAAUCAAGGAAUCUCACUGAUAAAACUCUCAAUGAGGAGCAGCUCUCCCCAUGAGCAAGUUCUUGCCUUCAUUGCCAGGGAGGCCCCAGCUAAGGUUAUACUGGGAAAGGAAUCUCUGGGGAGUACCUGGAAGAGGUCAGCUUCUCCUCAAAGGAAGCCUCUCCAGCUGGUGUACUGCAAAGCCUUCCAAGACCAAGUUCCCUCUUCCUGGCCUCUGGAACCAGCCUGUGUGCCAGCGCUGUGUCCCCAGUAACACACAUGAGUCUCUCCCUCAGAAGCCACAGAAGGAUGCAGAGAGAGACCAACCCAGGAUUGAUUCUCAGCACUUACUAAUUGUGUGGACAUAACUGCUCUGGACCUCAGCUUUGCUAUCUAUAAAAUGAGCACCCUUUUUAUAGAUAUGAACACUUUAAGAGAGUCAUAAAGAUUGAAGUUGAUUUGUGCUGCGCCUGGCACAGAGGUCUCCCUCAGUAAAUGGCAGCCACUGCUAUUGGGGUGCCCCAACACCCCUUGCCCCUGCCCACCAUUAGCUUUCACUUAGGCCCACACUGAGGGUGUGGCUGUUGUGUUGGGGGAAGGAAAAAAACCAUGCCUGGGUUGCAGGGCCCCCACCACCAACUGGUCUGCUUUUGUGGGAAGCAUUUUCUGAUGCCCUCGCCCUACCCGUGGGCUGGUUGACUAAGUGUCCAGCAUCAUGAGGAAAAGAGCAGGGUUCAGGGACAGCUUGGCUCAGCCCUGAAACUCAUCUGGGCCUAGGUCCAGAUGAGAGGCAAGCCUGGGAGGCCUUCCGUUGUACCCUUGCCUAUCCUGCAGCACCCUCUAGCCUGCAGGCCGCUCCUGGGUGGCAUAGCACCUUGGAUGUCAGGUGUGGGCCUUCCCAGGCACAUGGCAUGAGGGGGCACUUCUGUGGGUUGUUGGGGGCAGGAAGGGAUGUGUCUCCAGCUGGACUUGGGCUCUCGCAUUUUGGGGCCCAGCCAUGCCAGGACAGCACACAUGGGCGCUUAGUGCGAAUCUCAUGAUGGAGCAGAGGAGGAGCAAAGCAAAACCAGGGAGUCCCCAGGCCCCUGCUUCUGCCCCGCCCAGAGACAGUGGAGCAGGUGUCUCCAGCUUCUUAACCUCAACGCACAGUAAGAAAUACAUUUUACAGCAACCAAUAGACACAUACAUUUACAAAACGA
Molecule: long non-coding RNA, 1611 nt
Filed under: Homo sapiens (human)
Lineage: Eukaryota; Metazoa; Chordata; Mammalia; Primates; Hominidae
Description: long independently transcribed non-coding RNA 2874, transcript variant 6 (LINC02874)
Source: RNAcentral